GAUGAACGCUGGCGGCGUGCCUAAUACAUGCAGGUCGAGCGAACGGACGAGAAGCUUGCUUCUCUGAUGUUAGCGGCGGACGGGUGAGUAACACGUGGAUAACCUACCUAUAAGACUGGGAUAACUUCGGGAAACCGGAGCUAAUACCGGAUAAUAUUUUGAACUGCAUGGUUCAAAAGUGAAAGACGGUCUUGCUGUCACUUAUAGAUGGAUCCGCGCUGCAUUAGCUAGUUGGUAAGGUAACGGCUUACCAAGGCAACGAUGCAUAGCCGACCUGAGAGGGUGAUCGGCCACACUGGAACUGAGACACGGUCCAGACUCCUACGGGAGGCAGCAGUAGGGAAUCUUCCGCAAUGGGCGAAAGCCUGACGGAGCAACGCCGCGUGAGUGAUGAAGGUCUUCGGAUCGUAAAACUCUGUUAUUAGGGAAGAACAUAUGUGUAAGUAACUGUGCACAUCUUGACGGUACCUAAUCAGAAAGCCACGGCUAACUACGUG
This 497-nucleotide ribosomal RNA is filed under the name uncultured bacterium. RNAcentral's name for it is "partial 16S ribosomal RNA". It matches the Rfam family "Bacterial small subunit ribosomal RNA", at positions 28 to 507 of the family's 1533-position model. The record is from RNAcentral.